UACGUAGGGGGCAAGCGUUGUCCGGAUUUAUUGGGCGUAAAGAGCGUGUAGGCGGUCAGGUAGGUCGGUUGUGAAAACUGGAGGCUCAACCUUCAGAGGUCGACCGAAACCCCCUGGCUAGAGUCCGGGAGAGGAGAGUGGAAUUCCUGGUGUAGCGGUGAAAUGCGCAGAUAUCAGGAAGAACACCAAUGGCGAAAGCAGCUCUCUGGGACGGUACUGACGCUGAGACGCGAAAGCGUGGGGAGCGAACAGG
RNAcentral lists this ribosomal RNA (253 nucleotides) under uncultured bacterium. RNAcentral's name for it is "partial 16S ribosomal RNA". It matches the Rfam family "Bacterial small subunit ribosomal RNA", at positions 524 to 776 of the family's 1533-position model. The record is from RNAcentral.